RNAcentral lists this ribosomal RNA (206 nucleotides) under uncultured bacterium. RNAcentral's name for it is "partial 16S ribosomal RNA". It matches the Rfam family "Bacterial small subunit ribosomal RNA", at positions 568 to 774 of the family's 1533-position model. The record is from RNAcentral.
UGCGUAGGUGGUUAUUUAAGUUAUCUGUGAAAUCCCUGGGCUCAACCUGGGCAGGUCAGAUAAUACUGAAUGACUCGAGUAUAGGAGAGGGUAGUGGAAUUUCCGGUGUAGCGGUGAAAUGCGUAGAGAUCGGAAGGAACACCAGUGGCGAAGGCGGCUACCUGGCCUGAUACUGACACUGAGGCACGAAAGCGUGGGAGCAAACA